CCUACGGGAGGCAGCAGUGAGGAAUAUUGGUCAAUGGGCGAGAGCCUGAACCAGCCAAGUCGCGUGAGGGAGUACUGCCCUAUGGGUUGUAAACCUCUUUUGUCGGGGAGCAAAAGCCGGACGUGUCCGGCUGUGAGAGUACCCGAAGAAAAAGAAUUGGCUAACUCCGUGCCAGCAGCCGCGGUUAUACGGAGGAUGCGAGCGUUAUCCGGAUUUAUUGGGUUUAAAGGGUGCGCAGGCGGAUUUGUAAGUCAGCGGUAAAAUCGUGGGGCUCAACCCCAUCCAGCCGUGGACACUGGGGAUCUAGAGUGUGCGAGAGGUAUGCGGAAUGCGGGGUGUAGCGGUGAAAUGCAUAGAUAUCACGCAGAACCCCGAUUGCGAAGGCAGCAUACCGGUGCACAACUGACGCUCAGGCACGAAAGCGUGGGUAUCGAACAGGAUUAGAUACCCUUGUAGUC
Molecule: ribosomal RNA, 458 nt
Filed under: uncultured bacterium
Lineage: Bacteria
Description: partial 16S ribosomal RNA
Rfam family: Bacterial small subunit ribosomal RNA
Source: RNAcentral